UUUGCAGAACACUCCAUACAGAUCAUUCCACCACAUUGCAGGACAGCUACGGGGGAUCAGUUGACCCCCACCUUUUUUCUUUUCACAGAAAUUUUAGUUUCUGCUGUGUUAGUUUAAGAUCCUCUUUCUGAUAAGAAACUGUCUUGCUUCUUGGUCUUUGUGGUUUUCGCUCAAAUUAUGUGACACCCACAGCUGCCAGAUGUCUGACAAUAAAAUUCUGCACUCAUUCAUAUGAGCAAGGGGAUUCGCUGCAAACCAUU
Bufo bufo (common toad) is the source of this 260-nucleotide long non-coding RNA. RefSeq lists it as uncharacterized. The transcript has 3 exons. NCBI's taxonomy places the organism in Eukaryota, Metazoa, Chordata, Amphibia, Anura, Bufonidae. The record is from RefSeq and is a predicted model, not a curated record.